RNAcentral lists this ribosomal RNA (174 nucleotides) under uncultured bacterium. RNAcentral describes it as "partial 16S ribosomal RNA". It matches the Rfam family "Bacterial small subunit ribosomal RNA", at positions 1332 to 1500 of the family's 1533-position model. The record is from RNAcentral.
UCGCUAGUAAUCGCGGAUCAGCACGCCGCGGUGAAUACGUUCCCGGGCCUUGUACACACCGCCCGUCCACACCAUGGAAGUCUGCAAUGCCCGAAGCCGGUGGCCUAACCACUUAUGUGGAAGGAGCCGUCUAAGGCAGGGCAGAUGACUGGGGUGAAGUCGUAACAAGGUACC